AUCGCUGCCAGCGUACGUAGUGUACGUAUUACGUCCCUGUUUCAUCGGGAAAUGGUCCAACAGUCAGCCUCGCGUGUGGAGACUUCAGAAGAUGCCAGACCUCACAAAGAUUUCAGAUGAUGGAAACUAUAGAUGAACAUGCAAAGCUGCUAAAUAAUCCUUAUAUUGUAAUCAUUGCCCUAAAAGGGAGGAACUUGUCAGCAAAUCUACUUCACAGCACAUCAGUGAAAGCAGUUGACAGUUACAGACGUGUGUGUUGGAUCAGGGUCAGAUCUGAAUUCUGCAGGUAGGUAGAUCUCCAGGAACAGGAUUGUACAGCCCUGUUAUAUUGGUAAUGUAUGAUGCAUUUUGUUUUUAUUGCAGGUUUCCUGUGAUGACCGUUGAAGAGAUCAGCACAUCAGAUGUUGGCCUGGACAGCUGUAGCUACAGUACACCACACUGACUUCUUUGCAUGGAUAGCUGACUACUACUAUUAUGUUCUGUGAAGGUAUUAUUAUAGGAAACCUGAGCACCUGUGACAGUGGAA
Molecule: long non-coding RNA, 526 nt
Organism: Carassius auratus (goldfish)
Lineage: Eukaryota; Metazoa; Chordata; Actinopteri; Cypriniformes; Cyprinidae
Exons: 3
Source: RefSeq, a predicted model, not a curated record